UAUUGAUGGAGAUGAAGUGCCGAGCUCUCCACAGCCCUCCCUCACGCCCUGCGGUGGCUUCACGGGGCACCCGAGCCCGGCGUGGGCAGGCCUGUGGCCGGCUCCACGCUGCCCGCUCCACCUCAGGUGGCCGCGCAGAAAUACAUCGCAGCCCGUGAAGAUUCACAGAUGCACCCAGAAUCCCCCAAACGGCUGCUGAGCGCUGGAGGACCUGUGAUGCGGGACCUUCAUGUAACACCACAUCCACGACGUCAGCCACAGUCUACAUUCACAGCACGGUCCGUGGAAGAGGAAAUACUUUUCUGGCGCUAGACGUCGUCUGCAGAGAGGGCUGGGACGUUCAUCCGAGGCCGGGUGAAAAACGCCAUCUUCUCCCUGUUAAAAAUUGAGAUUCUGCCUGGCUGGCGUGGCUCAGUGGUUGAGCAUCGACCUGUGCACCAAGAGGUCGCCAGUUCAAUUCCCAGUCAAGGCACAUGCCCAGGUCAUCAGUGCGG
Molecule: long non-coding RNA, 494 nt
Organism: Molossus molossus (Pallas's mastiff bat)
Lineage: Eukaryota; Metazoa; Chordata; Mammalia; Chiroptera; Molossidae
Exons: 3
Source: RefSeq, a predicted model, not a curated record